AGUUUUCAUAAUGGUAAGAUACGGAUAAUUUCAUGAAUUAAAUCCGAAGGAUUCUGUAAAUGGAACACAUUCCCUUCCCAAUCGAGAUUCGAAAUGAUGGGUUUUCUCUUUGAGGUUUGGAAAUUGAUCGGAAAAAUCCUAGAUUCAUUUAUAUAUGCCCGAAUCACUUCAACUGGAUAUAAUUUGUGAUAAGAUUAGUAAACGUUAGCCCAUUGCCCUUCCAACUCCAUACAUUUGAGAGCAAAGAGACUAAGACUUCAAGCACUUCUCUGAUUAAAAGUAUGAGUACUUUAUCAGAGGACACUUUUCCGAAGAGGAAACCUAGGGCAAAAUUAGUUACCAAUUAUUUUGUUGUUAUGAUACCUACAUACAAUAUACAUGAGUAAAACCUCCAGACCCUCCCCAACCUUUUGAAAAGAAGCAUCAGAAGAAAUUGUUCAAUCAGAGAAAAUAUUUACAGAGAAAACAUUGAACCUAAAGUUUCUGCAAUCAAACGAAAAAAACCUAUGUUUGGGACAUGGCUGAAGAAGAAUUCAGUUCGGAUAAAACAAGGCCAAACUUCAUAUUCAUGAGGAGAACUAUUUUUCGCUUCGGAGUAAUGUUCAUUCUGUAGUCGAAGCUAUGGAACUUGAAUAAUCUGCUAUAUUUCAGAGUAAAUCCUUUCAUCACAGUCAUCUAUAAGUGCUUCUAAGGCUCCUCUUUCUGGUAAAGGAAUAAAUGUUUGAGAGGAAGUUGAAAGACCUAUCAACACAGAUAUACAGUCCUGCAUUGAGAUCAUUUACUUUGACAUUCUAAUCCCCAAGAGCUAAUUAU
Long non-coding RNA from Coccinella septempunctata (seven-spotted ladybird), 813 nucleotides. RefSeq lists it as uncharacterized. The record is from RefSeq and is a predicted model, not a curated record. The transcript has 5 exons. NCBI's taxonomy places the organism in Eukaryota, Metazoa, Arthropoda, Insecta, Coleoptera, Coccinellidae.